Molecule: non-coding RNA, 441 nt
Organism: Jaculus jaculus (lesser Egyptian jerboa)
Lineage: Eukaryota; Metazoa; Chordata; Mammalia; Rodentia; Dipodidae
Source: the annotation of a RefSeq genome assembly
AUGGACUUGAUGGUCCCCACUCAGCUCAUGGGGCUUCUGCUGCUCUGGCUCCCAGGUGCAAAAUGUGACAUCCAGAUGACACAGCCACCCUCCUUGUCUGCAUCUCUAGGAGACAGAGUCACCAUUACCUGCAGGGCCAGUCAGGACAUUAGCAAGAACUUACACUGGUACCAGCAGAAACCAGGUCAAAGUCCCAAACCCCUGAUCUACUAUACAUCCAGGUUACAAUCUGGGGUCCCAUCGAGGUUCAGUGGCAGUGGAUCUGGGGCAGAGUAUUCUCUCACCAUCAGCAGUUUGGAGACUGACGAUGCUGCCACAUAUCACUGUCAACAUGGUUAUGGGUUUCCUAACCACAGUGAUACAUGUCAUAACAUAAACCAGGAAACUAUGAGUGUGAGGCUGGGCUGCCCUAGUUUCUUUUCCUGGUCACUUGUCUGUUGA